RNAcentral lists this ribosomal RNA (460 nucleotides) under uncultured bacterium. Its description in RNAcentral is "partial 16S ribosomal RNA". It matches the Rfam family "Bacterial small subunit ribosomal RNA", at positions 338 to 795 of the family's 1533-position model. The record is from RNAcentral.
CCUACGGGUGGCAGCAGUGAGGAAUAUUGGUCAAUGGACGAGAGUCUGAACCAGCCAAGUAGCGUGAAGGAUGACUGCCCUAUGGGUUGUAAACUUCUUUUAUAUGGGAAUAAAAUGUUCCACGUGUGGGAUUUUGUAUGUACCAUAUGAAUAAGGAUCGGCUAACUCCGUGCCAGCAGCCGCGGUAAUACGGAGGAUCCGAGCGUUAUCCGGAUUUAUUGGGUUUAAAGGGAGCGUAGGUGGAUUGUUAAGUCAGUUGUGAAAGUUUGCGGCUCAACCGUAAAAUUGCAGUUGAAACUGGCAGUCGUGAGUACAGUAGAGGUGGGCGGAAUUCGGUGUGUAGCGGUGAAAUGCUUAGAUAUCACGAAGAACUUCGAUUGCGAAGGCAGCUCACUGGACUGCAACUGACACUGAGGCUCGAAAGUGUGGGUAUCAAACAGGAUUAGAUACCCUUGUAGUC